Molecule: long non-coding RNA, 4562 nt
Organism: Amphiprion ocellaris (clown anemonefish)
Lineage: Eukaryota; Metazoa; Chordata; Actinopteri; Pomacentridae
Exons: 3
Source: RefSeq, a predicted model, not a curated record
UCAAGGGACAUUAAGCUUGUAUUGAUCUUACCUUGAUUACUCACAGGCUUCCCAGCGUGCAUACAAACACAGUCUCAACAAUACUCUUAAAAAUGGACUCUGAAGAAAAGACGUGGGAAAUGAAAUGGAGGAGGAAGGGAGGACCCCAUUAAUGCACUCCCAUUGCCCUUGCACCAGCCAUAACCAGAGACACGCAACGCCAGAGGAUUAAGCAGAUGAUGAGAGGAGGCAUAUGACCGAUAUGGGAUUUUGAAGUGUAAAAUCUCCUGUCUGUUCCCGCUUGGCAGCUUAAGCUCGUUACUCCAGUGAGACACCGUGAGGUAAGUGACGUACUUUCCACUGUGCAGGGGAUUGUGGGUCAGAAAGGCCAGAAAUCGACGUUUGCAUACUUAAAAACGGUUUGGUUUGGUUUGUCAUCCUGUAUGAUUGACCUGGAAGUCCAGUUCUGGGCUUCAGUCCUUGCUCCUCUCUCAAUCCUUUGUGACUGAUUGGACAUCUUCUUGGUCCUGUGCUCCAAUCAAACUACAGAAAUCACUACACUUAGUUUAAAGUCUGUGUGCAGCAUAUUGUGAGCAUCUCACCUCUGGGCCUCUUGCUGUCUUUUUGUAUUCUUUCUAACAGUUCCAAACGACCUUGUGUGUCUCUGUAUCUGCUCACUAUAGAGGUUACUUGUUGAUUUUGUGUUCUGUAGCCACAUAUAAGUGGAUAGUCACUGCUCAGAGCUUUGUGAUUUGUGUAAUGAGACACUUGUUCGAUUGCCAGGAAACUGGGCUGGACUUUGCUCUUUUAUAACAACCGUAUUAGGGUAAGAGUUUUGGGUGCUGCUGCCUUUGUAUUGCAGUUUAUUAAGCAAGCUGAAAUACUUACAGCCCCAUUUCCAUUUUUAUUUCUUCUAUUGAUUUAGCAACACCCACAGGCCUCGUUUUUGUUUGCAGUUUUAGCUCCUGUGUUUGAUUGUACUGCUAAGUAACAAAUAGCUUUGUUAAAACAAAAACAACUGGUUUAUGCUUCCCUGUAGCCUAACAGACCAAAGACAUAAGACCUUCAUACAACUAUUUUAGCUGAAACCUGUCAUCACUGCCACAUAUCUCAAUACAUUUCAGAACUGCAUUGUGUUUUGACUAUAUUAGUGUAAAAUGAGACACACACCACACUUUCUUAUAAAGCCAGUUUUCCGCUAAAGCACAUUGUUUGCAUGUCUGUCUUCACUAGAUUUUUUCCCACCUCUGUCUCAUAUGUUGAACUCUAUCUUCUUGUUCUCAUCCACACGUUCACCGCCACAGCACCCCAUCACAACCCCCACCCUAUGCUCAAAGUGGCACUUAGCAUCUGGGAAAAUUUAUGGAGUGUGAGGCAAUUUAUUCGAAGUGUGGAUGUCGGGAGGACAGUAGGAUGGUAGCAGCCAGUGUGUGUUUGCAUUAAAAAGCCUGCUAUCAGAAUUCACUUACUUCCAUAAGGGAAAGUAAUAAACCUUAUCUUGUUAUGUUUUUACAUGUUUGUAUUGUGUUAGUUUUCUCUGCGUCGGGUACAAUAAAAAUCAAAAUGCAGUGUUUUGUAGGACUCUGCCAACAUGGACACGUCACGCAUGUGCUGCAGAGCAGAUAAGUGGUAUCAUGUUAGUGACAUGGCUUAAAGCAGGAGGGAGGAGAACCAGCAGAGGUCAUAAAAUCACUUGUGUUUCUAAAUGGUCUCGAUUCAUUGCCUUUGUGUUAAUUGAUCAGACUGCAGGAUAAUUAAUGGCAUGCCACUUUAAUGGAGAAUAAAUACUCAUCAAUGUCACAGGGUCACUCAGCCGACUCCCCGGCAGAAACAGGAGGAGGAUCAUGUUGCAUUUUUUAACUCCUCCAGAAGGUUUCAUGAUAUAUUCUCUACGGAGUGUCAUAAGAGAUCAUACAGAGGUAGACUUGAAGCUUAAAACUUUUAAAAGGAGGCACUUUCAACAGGGUCUAUCCUCCACUUUCUUUUCAGCUGUCACAUCGAAAAAUCUCAUGGAGUUACAGUCAUUUAAUUUGAAUGAUGUCGCUGAUGGCAAACAUAUCAUCACCACCUUCGCAGUGCGGAGAAGUGCUUGUGAACAGCAGGUCACUGGUCUGAAUUUCUGAGCCAGAUGGCAAAAUGUGGUUUGAGAAGUGAAUGAUUAAAGGGUGAAUGUCGAGGUAAGGCCAUAUGGCCUUGAGUGCUAUCAAAUUUUCAAGGGUACACAUGUCGCACGCUGUUGCAAAGGUCGGCUAGCAGUUUUGUACCCAAGGCUAAAGGUAUUGCUUCAGGUAUUAUGUACUGUAUAAAGCCAAUUUUAAAUUAGGAAUACUGUACUAAAGCAACAUAUUUAAGAGAAAACAAUGAAUAAUGCAUAAUGAACCAGGACAGCCUCGAGAAGCAUUAAAAUCAUAUGAUUUGAAUCUACUGAUUGAGGCUCCAGGACCUAAUAUGUAAUAUUUAAAUUACGGAGUACUUGAAAAUUAAACAUUAAAUCUUAAAAGCCAUCUUAAAAGUUGUCUUUUUUCAUUUUCCUCCUGUUUUAUCACUGGGUGCUGCAUAGCAGGAGCAGAACACUUCCUGAGACCUGCAGGUAGCGCGAGCUGAGAGGAAAUAAAGUGUAGAAAUAAAUACAGUUGAGUGACAAACUAAAAGAAAGCCUUCAGAACUGCUUACUGUCAUAGAUAUUAUGAAAAAUCUUUAUUCCAAAAGAUACGCCGUCAUCUGGUGAUUUGAUGAUAGUGGUGGAGAGCCCCAGGUGCUCUGCAAUAUUAAGUUUUUUACUCUUAAACUGUCACUGAACAUGUCUGAAUAAGAAGUUUUGUCAAUCUCAUGGUUUUGGGAAAGUAAUAGACUUUAAUAGUGAAAAUUGAGUCAGAGAUAGUAAAAGAGCUGCCUAAGAUCAGUGAGGAAGUUUUCAGUACAUGCAAAUUCUUGAAAAACAACACAAACUAAAAACUUGACUCACCACAUGCAUGCACACACUGGCAGUCUCUCUGCAGCUGUGGCUAGAUUCUGAUCAAGUCUAGUCUCCUAACAACCAAUUCCACACCAGACAACCUUCUCCUCAGAAGAAUUACAUAAUCUAAGUCCAGUAUAUUGCAGAAUGUCGUCAGCACUAUUUCUGUUUGCAUCAUCUCAUUCCCCUGCUGUCCUGGCUCCAAAAACCCUCACAUGUGGUCCGCCAUAUUUUCCUGAGAGUGCAGUUCAGAGGAAGACCCCUGUGGGACCUGGAUUUAUCUGCAGGCCUUGGAUAAUGGAUGAUGGAGAUCAGGCCCCAUCAUGGUCACCAAUCUGCUCCACUGAGGGCUCCUGGCCAUGUCUGCUGGCCAGCCCGGUGGCCUGUCGCUUGCUCAGUGCCAGCACACGCUGAUGGUUGCUUACUAACCCUGUUCCCAGAUGCCAGGGCAUCUGCCCACAAAUACAACGUACUGCUGAGGCCUGUGAGCCAGGAGGACUGGCUGGAUGCCUGCAGGGGGAAAACAACCAGAGGCUGGAGUCCAGCCUGUCACCCCUGGCUUAUGGAUCCAUCCUCUCCAGACUGAAGCUGCUUUAAUUCUUUCAGUCAGUGCAACAUGUUCAUUGUUGUGAAUGACAUAAAAGGACAUUAUGUAAUCAUCGAUCAAGAUUGUCUUUUGGCGCAAUGACAUUUCUCAUAUUCUUGCAAAAUUAUUAGUUUACAAAAUACCUUGAAAGCCAAUGUUCAGGUUUAAUCAGUGAUUGUGCAUGUGUUGCAUCAUGUGGUCACUGUCGGCUUUUGGUCAGACAGGCCAGAAAUGAGUGUGGCCCAGGUUUUGCUUUACUAAAAGCUUGUUAGCCGACCAACCUUUCACAACAGCCAAUUUCUAACCUGCCAUGGCAGGUAAAGCAGCUACAUUCCACUAAAGCAUCCAGUGAGUGAGGUCUUCAUGUCCAUCACUGCUUUAGCUGGUGCAAGCAGGCUCAGAAGGACAUUCCAGACAUCCCUCUCUUCAACAACAUUUUCAGCUCCUCCUGGAGAAUUCCAUAGUGUACCCACGCCAGAUGAGAUAUACAAUCUCUCCAGCAUGUUCUGGGUCUGCACCGAGGUGUCCUCCCAAUUGGACCUGCCUUGAGAACUUCAAAAGGAACCCUCCAGAUGUCCAAACUCCACCCCAUCUCUAAGACUGAGCGACCCCUGUAGCUGCUGGUUUUCCCAGUGGGCACACCCCUUCCAGGGAGAGGUGUUGAAAUCAGACACAUUGCAAGCUGGGAGGCAGGCAAAGGUGGACACUUAGAUGUAUUGAUCCCUGACACUACAGACUGGUUCUAGGCACGUGGAGAAAGUAGAGCAAUCAUUAAUUGAUGAUAUUAAUUAAACUGGUGCUUUUCCUGGUGCCAUUUAAUGGCUAUAUGUUUUUCUUUAUAAAGACCUAAAGGCAAUGACAAAUAAUUGAUUCUGGAAACCACAUUUAAUACAACUUUGACUGAUGAUAGGAUAGAAACUUGAAGAUUUAAAUCUGGUGAAUUUGUGUUCAGUCUUUAUGCAUCAUAUGUUUUAAAAAUGUGUUUCUCUUGUUAUUAAAGCUAAACGGAAUGAAUUUUAAAAUAAAUGAACGUGAACGAUG